GUAGGACGCGAGCGUUAUCCGGAUUUACUGGGCGUAAAGCGUGUGUAGGCGGCGUGACAAGUUGGGCGUGAAAGCCCCGUGCUCAACGCGGGGAGGCCGCACAAUACUGUCAGGCUAGAGGGCAUCAGAGGGGUGUGGAAUUCCCGGAGUAGCGGUAAAAUGCGCAGAUAUCGGGAGGAACACCGGUGGCGAAAGCGGCACCCUGGGGUGCACCUGACGCUGAGAGACGACAGCUAGGGGAGCGAACAGGAUUAGAGACCCUGGUAGUCCUAGCCGUAAACGAUGGAUGCUAGGUGUGGGAGUGAAGAACUUCUGUGCCGCAGCGAACGCGAUAAGCAUCCCGCCUGGGGAGUACGGCCGCAAGGUUAAAACUCAAACGAAUUGACGGGGACCCGCACAAGCAGCGGAGCGUGUGGUUUAAUUCGAUGCUACACGAAGAACCUUACCUGGGAUUGACAUAUGGGUGGUAGUGAGCCGAAAGGCAAGCGACCCUUCGGGGAGCCUAUACAGGUGCUGCAUGGCUGUCGUCAGCUCGUGCCGUGAGGUGUCGGGUUAAGUCCCGUAACGAGCGCAACCCCUGUCCUUAGUUACAAGUGUCUAAGGGGACUGCCGGCGGGAAGCCGGAGGAAGGUGGGGAUGACGUCAAGUCAGCAUGGCCCUUAUAUCCAGGGCGACACACACGCUACAAUGGUCGGUACAGAGGGCAGCGAAGCCGCGAGGUGGAGCGAAACCCAGAAAGCCGGUCGUAGUUCGGAUUGCAGGCUGCAACUCGCCUGCAUGAAGUU
RNAcentral lists this ribosomal RNA (785 nucleotides) under uncultured organism. Its description in RNAcentral is "bacterial SSU rRNA". It matches the Rfam family "Bacterial small subunit ribosomal RNA", at positions 527 to 1327 of the family's 1533-position model. The record is from RNAcentral.